GAUGAACGCUGGCGGCGUGCCUAAUACAUGCAAGUCGAGCGAACAGAUGAGGGGCUUGCUCCUCUGACGUUAGCGGCGGACGGGUGAGUAACACGUGGAUAACCUACCUAUAAGACUGGGAUAACUUCGGGAAACCGGAGCUAAUACCGGAUAAUAUAUUGAACCGCAUGGUUCAAUAGUGAAAGACGGUUUUGCUGUCACUUAUAGAUGGAUCCGCGCCGCAUUAGCUAGUUGGAAGGUAACGGCUUACCAAGGCAACGAUGCGUAGCCGACCUGAGAGGGUGAUCGGCCACACUGGAACUGAGACACGGUCCAGACUCCUACGGGAGGCAGCAGUAGGGAAUCUUCCGCAAUGGGCGAAAGCCUGACGGAGCAACGCCGCGUGAGUGAUGAAGGUCUUCGGAUCGUAAAACUCUGUUAUUAGGGAAGAACAAAUGUGUAAGUAACUAUGCACGUCUUGACGGUACCUAAUCAGAAAGCCACGGCUAACUACGUG
Molecule: ribosomal RNA, 496 nt
Filed under: uncultured bacterium
Lineage: Bacteria
Description: partial 16S ribosomal RNA
Rfam family: Bacterial small subunit ribosomal RNA
Source: RNAcentral